GUCCACGCCUUAAACGAUGAUCACUUGGUGUUGGAGGUAUUGACCCCUUCAGUGCCGAAGCUAACGCGUUAAGUGAUCCGCCUGGGAAGUACGGUCGCAAGAUUAAAACUCAAAGAAAUUGACGGGGCCCGCACAAGCGGUGGAGCAUGUGGUUUAAUUCGAUGCAACGCGCAAAACCUUACCUGGGCUCGAAAUGUAGUGGAAGUUAGUAGAGAUAUUAACGCCCGCAAGGGUCGCUAUAUAGGUGCUGCAUGGCUGUCGU
Molecule: ribosomal RNA, 262 nt
Filed under: uncultured bacterium
Lineage: Bacteria
Description: partial 16S ribosomal RNA
Rfam family: Bacterial small subunit ribosomal RNA
Source: RNAcentral